AAUGGACGAAAGUCUGACGGAGCAACGCCGCGUGAGUGAUGAAGGAUUUCGGUUCGUAAAGCUCUGUUGUUAGGGAAGAAAAGUGCCGUUGAAUAGGCGGCACCUUGACGGUACCUAACCAGAAAGCCACGGCUAACUACGUGCCAGCAGCCGCGGUAAUACGUAGGUGGCAAGCGUUGUCCGGAAUUAUUGGGCGUAAAGCGCGCGCAGGCGGUCUUUUAAGUCUGAUGUGAAAGCCCACGGCUCAACCGUGGGGGGCAUUGGAAACUGGGGGACUUGAGUACAGAAGAGGAGAGUGGAAUUCCACGUGUAGCGGUGAAAUGCGUAGAUAUGUGGAGGAACACCAGUGGCGAAGGCGACUCUCUGGUCUGUAACUGACGCUGAGGCGCGAAAGCGUGGGGAGCAAACAGGAUU
RNAcentral lists this ribosomal RNA (414 nucleotides) under uncultured Bacillota bacterium. RNAcentral's name for it is "bacterial SSU rRNA". It matches the Rfam family "Bacterial small subunit ribosomal RNA", at positions 370 to 779 of the family's 1533-position model. The record is from RNAcentral. Lineage: Bacteria; Bacillati; Bacillota.